This 1627-nucleotide unclassified non-coding RNA is filed under the name Hevea brasiliensis (rubber tree). The record is from RNAcentral. Lineage: Eukaryota; Viridiplantae; Streptophyta; Magnoliopsida; Malpighiales; Euphorbiaceae.
UCGGAAUGCAAAUAAUAUAUAUAUGGAUGGUACAAUCUUAAGUGAAGUUGAUGCUAUCAGAUAAAUAUCCCCAUGACAUGAAAAGCAAAUUUCUAAUGAAAAUAAUGAAAUCACUGCCCAAAUCCCAUGCAUAUUAGUGAACAUACCAAACCAUGUUAAUUAAUGGAUUCUCAACAUGAAUUGUAUGCCAACAUCCAGGACAACUUUGUAUAAUUGUGCUCCAAAAAGCUACAAAAGAUUGUGAUGUAGGAAAAGAAAAAUAAGCUCAGUUAGUUUUCCUAUUUUAAGUUGGUUGGUUUUGGUUUUGGUUUUUUGGUUUCUUAUUUUAAAAAGGAUUCUUAUUCCUCUUAGUUAUUUUUUUGUUUAGGGUCUUCACUUCCUUUUCUCAGCAGAUUUAGGAUUCCACAUGAAAUAUAAAAGCAUGUCUUUCUGUUAUUUUGUAUCAGACUUCAAAAUUUUACUAAGAACAGAGAAUCAAUACCCAGUUUCAGAGUUCCUUAUGUUUAGAAAAUCAGUGUUUGCUAAUUUUCUUUAGCAAUUCACUGCAUAUGUUGGCAUCAGAGCAGGAAUAUCUGAUGUGGCAGACGAAGUAGGACACAACCAGCCUAUUGCUCAAGAACAAGGGCUGUCACAGCUGCAGGCUAUGGAACAGAGAUUCAAAGUGACAAAUGGAGGAAAUCUGCAACAGGCUGGAUGCAAUUAGGAUGGGUGAUAAUGAGUGCAGAAGAUGGAGGAAGAGGAGAACAAGAAUAUGCUCACAACCCAUCUGCUGCUCAACGUAAUCCAGCAGGCUGUAGACCAACUGUUAGCAAUGAUGAAUUUGAUCAAGAAAAUGGUGGCUACGCUCAGGUUGUUGGAACUCGUGGUAAUAAGAGACAAAAGACUUGGCGAGAACAUGGAGAGAAUAGACAAAAUCAGUGGGAACCUUAAGAAUUCCGUUUGAAAGUUUAUAUCCCAACUUUUAACGGAAACUUUAUCAUUGAGCAGUGUUAUUGAGGUGAGAGGCAACAAGAAACCGUAUGGCCUUAGCUGGGGUCUACAAGAAUUUAUUGAUGAUUUUGUAGCUCGCACGGCUCAAGGAUCUCCAACCAGUACUAUAUGGGGUACUUUCUCAACGGAUUAUGAGAGGACAUCCAAGUAAGAAUCCGUUCGCAUGAAAUGGACAUCCCAGAUGGAUGUGGCAAUGGACAUCCCAGAUGGAUGUGGCAAGGAAAAUAGAACGGGAGCUGAAGCUUCAAUCAACAGAGAUGUUCUUAACCAGAAACGAGGAAGGAGGAAUCAUGGUUUUAAAUAGCGGACAUUACAUAACAACCAUUAUGUAAAGGAAAAUUGCCCUGCCAUUACUGUUAUCGUUGUUAAAUAACGGGAUUUUAAAAUUUGGUGCAUAACAGCCGUUACUAAAAGGUAAAGGCUAUCACCGACUAUUACUUAAAGGCCGUAACAGCCUUUAUUCUUGUAAGGCAAGUUUUGAUAUUCACAAUACAUACAUUGCAUUAGGUUGAUUAGACAUCUUGAAUGUGGAUCAAGUUCAUGAAUAUUCACAAUAUCUCUUGGUGCACGAUGUUUGCAGAUAACAUAGUUUUGAUAGAUGAGACACGAGAAGCAGUCAAUAGAAAGCUAGAGCUUU